Molecule: unclassified non-coding RNA, 231 nt
Filed under: plant metagenome
Description: partial contains small subunit ribosomal RNA, internal transcribed spacer 1, and 5.8S ribosomal RNA
Source: RNAcentral
UCUCCGUUGGUGAACCAGCGGAGGGAUCAUUACUGAGUUACCGCUCUACAACCCUUUGUGAACAUACCUAACUGUUGCUUCGGCGGGCAGAGGUUCCUCGCGGAUCUCUCCCGGCAACGCCCUCACGGGCGGAGCGCCCGCCGGAGGAUACCAAACUCUAUUUUAACGACGUUUCUUCUGAGUGGCACAAGCAAAUAAUUAAAACUUUUAACAACGGAUCUCUUGGUUCUG